UUUGAAUCAUCUCAGUUGAAAUCUAAAUGUAGUCAAGAUCUAAAUUGUUAUUAGUUACCAAGAAAUGUACAUAUUAUUUUGAACCAAACUUUUAUUGUGUCAUAUUUUGAAAUGCCUACUUUACCGACAGCGCCAUUUGUAACCUUUAUUUGUGUUGUGUAGUUGAAGAAACACAACAUUAGUAUAUUUUACUUUCAAACAUAAAAACGUACAGUGCAGUUAGAAAAUUAUGACUGAUAUGGACGUGGAAAUGGAAGCAGUGGUGCCCGAUGAUAAGGCAGACAGCGCAUGGAUGCGAGAACGUUUUAUCAUGAUGCAAGUCAACUUAAAAGGUUUACCGGCGCACAUAGUAUUGCAUGAUAAUACGACCGUGGACGGGAAGGUGCAGACCAUUGAUGGUAACUUUCAGAACAUAAUAGUCAAUGAUUUACACACUCCAACACAAGAAAUAAUACCAAAAGCUGUGCUGCGAAUGUCUGACAUCAUAUCCAUUAGAAUACCUCAUUGAAUAAAUGUAUUUCAUCAACA
Molecule: long non-coding RNA, 528 nt
Organism: Dalotia coriaria
Lineage: Eukaryota; Metazoa; Arthropoda; Insecta; Coleoptera; Staphylinidae
Exons: 2
Source: RefSeq, a predicted model, not a curated record